GACGAACGCUGGCGGCGUGCUUAACACAUGCAAGUCGAGCGGAAAGGCCCUGCUUUUGUGGGGUGCUCGAGUGGCGAACGGGUGAGUAACACGUGAGUAACCUGCCCUUGACUUUGGGAUAACUUCAGGAAACUGGGGCUAAUACCGGAUAGGAGCUCCUGCUGCAUGGUGGGGGUUGGAAAGUUUCGGCGGUUGGGGAUGGACUCGCGGCUUAUCAGCUUGUUGGUGGGGUAGUGGCUUACCAAGGCUUUGACGGGUAGCCGGCCUGAGAGGGUGACCGGCCACAUUGGGACGGAGAUGCGGCCCAGACUCCUACGGGAGGCAGCAGUGGGGAAUAUUGCACAAUGGGCGGAAGCCUGAUGCAGCAACGCCGCGUGCGGUAUGACGGCCUUCGGGUUGUAAACCGCUGUCGCCUGUGACGAAGCGUGAGUGACGGUAAUGGGUAAAGAAGCACCGGCUAACUACGUG
This 468-nucleotide ribosomal RNA is filed under the name uncultured bacterium. Its description in RNAcentral is "partial 16S ribosomal RNA". It matches the Rfam family "Bacterial small subunit ribosomal RNA", at positions 28 to 507 of the family's 1533-position model. The record is from RNAcentral.